AUGAGCAGCCAUCUCUCGUCGUCGGCGGCGGCGCCGCUGGAGGACGAAAACCUAUUCCCCGAGAUCCUACUCCGCCUCCCGCCGCAGCCCUCCUCCCUCCCCCGCGCCUCGCUCGUCUGCAAGCGCUGGUGCCGCCUCGCCUCCAACCCCAGCUUCCUCCGCCACUUCCGCAUCCACCACCGCCGCAGCCCUCCCCUCCUCGGCUGCCUCGUCCAAGAUCCCGACGGCAUCUCCUUCCUACCUACAUCGGAGCCCCUCAACCGUCUCCCGCCCGGUCGUUUCUCCUUGCAGUUCUUACUCAGCAACGGAUUCACGCUACACGACUGCCGCCAUGGACUCGUACUUAUGUCCGACCAGAUGCGGCGCCAGUUCGUCGUGUGGGACCCCGUCACCGGCGACCAGCACCGCCUACCGAUUCCCCCGGGGUUCGAUCCGAGGACGACCCGAAUCAAUGGGGCGGUGCUUCGUGCUGCGGGGGACGUCAAACACUUCCAGCUGGUCUUUGUAGCAGCAUACAACCACGGGGUAGCAGCGGCGGCCGCCUGCCUUUACUCGUCGGAGACCGGCGUAUGGGGUAACAUCGUCUCAACACCAAUUCCAUUCGAGUCCGACCGAGGGUCCGCCUUAUAUCAGAUGUUUACUUUCGGAACAAUUUCUACGGAGCCCGCUGUGCUUGUUGGGGAUUCCAUUUACUGGAUUCUUGCCAAUUGUUCAUCAGGCAUCCUUGAGUUUAAUUUUGAGAUGCAGAGACUAGCUGCUAUACGGGUGCCACAUCUGUAUAGAGAUCACUUCAAGCUUAUAAAGGCGGAUAGUGGUGGGCUGGGUCUGCUCCACAUAUCAGACUUCACCAUGCAAGUGUGCAAUUACGAUGGUGUUGCUUCAUGGAGGCUGGGAAGAACUAUUGAACUGGACAAAUUACUUCCCCUGAAUCCAUACAAGGACAACAUAAUGUUAGGAGCGUUUGCCGAGGAAAAUAAUAUGGUGUUCCUGUGGACAUUGAACGGGCUCUAUGCGAUCCAUCUUCAGUCAUUGGAGGUGAAAAAGCUACCCGAAACCACCAACAUAUCUCACUACUAUCCCUUUGAAAGCGUCAAUACGACAGGGAGAGUCCUGCUAUGA
Molecule: ribosomal RNA, 1119 nt
Filed under: Triticum aestivum (bread wheat)
Lineage: Eukaryota; Viridiplantae; Streptophyta; Magnoliopsida; Poales; Poaceae
Description: partial small subunit ribosomal RNA
Source: RNAcentral